GAUGAAGAACGCAGUGAAAUGCGAUAAGUAGUGUGAAUUGCAGAAUUCAGUGAAUCAUCGAAUCUUUGAACGCACAUUGCGCCCUUCGGUAUUCCGUUGGGCAUGCCUGUUCGAGCGUCAUUUAAACCUUCAAGCUAUGCUUGGUGUUGGGUGUUUGUUCCGCCUCUGCGCGUGGACUCGCCUCAAAUUCAUUGGCAGCCGGUAUGUUGGCUUCGUGCGCAGCACAUUGCAAGCGAUUUCAACUGACCUCCUUCCAUAAGCCCUUUUUUUACUUUGACCUCGGAUCAGGUAGGGAUACCCGCUGAACUUAAGCAUAUCAAUAAGCGGAGGA
Molecule: unclassified non-coding RNA, 331 nt
Filed under: soil metagenome
Description: partial contains 5.8S ribosomal RNA, internal transcribed spacer 2, and large subunit ribosomal RNA
Rfam family: 5.8S ribosomal RNA (bases 1-120)
Source: RNAcentral